RNAcentral lists this non-coding RNA (64 nucleotides) under unclassified sequences. RNAcentral describes it as "L2-Alphaproteobacteria ribosomal protein leader". It matches the Rfam family "L2-Alphaproteobacteria ribosomal protein leader". The record is from RNAcentral.
GGGGACCUUCGGGCCCUAUCAAUCGCGGCGCGUAAAGUGCUGCAUUUAUAACGGAAGACAGAAA